GUGUGUUGAGUGUGAGUGUGUCUCUGUGUGUGUAGGGGUCGAGGUGGGGGGGGUCCGUGUUUGCGAUCUGAACCUUUGGUACCUACAAGGAGGGUGUCUCACCGAACGGUAGCUAAAACCUCACCAGAACCGCGCGGAAGUGAGAAGUCGCGGCCAAAGGCGCCCGCAGAAGCCUCCUCUCUGGGCCGGACCCCAGCCCGAGCGGCCGAAAGGAGCCCCCCGCCCGGAUCACAGAAGUUUACAAGGAAAGGGGAAAUGUCUGAAAUGGAGAUUGCACAAUCCUGUCUUGAAGCAGAAGACUCAGCUAGAGCACAUCUGGAAACACCUGGCACUCCUCAAUAGAAUUCAAAUGCUAUUUUAAAAGAUGUAAAAUCUGAGCUGCAACACUGAACAAAAGCUGUACUUGCCAGCCAGCAAAGAUGCUACCACUCUGCACAACAGAUAAAACCCAUACAUAUAGGGAAGUCAAAAGAGUCUUUAAGCUACAGUGUUUGAGAGGCUGUUUGUCUCUGAUGGAAAAUUAAGAAAAUGGUAAGAGCAGCGUUAGCAUGAGGUGUUCAUUCCAAAUUUGUCACUGCAGUGUGUGUGGCAUUGUGUGCAAAAACAACUCUUCAAGCAAAAACACCUCCAGCAAACUUCCUCCUUCACUUCAAACCUCAUCUUCAAUUACAAUGUGGUUCCUACAAAGUAAAGGGCUGUUGUCCUCUCUUCAGACCUGUGCUGCUUCUGCGCACUAGCCCUGUAGACCAUCAAGGCCUAAAAAUAGCUGCUAGAUUCAAUGAGACAUGAAGCUGACAGAAAUGGCAUCAAGCUAAUUGGCAACAAACUCUAUGAAACCUACUCAGGAAAUCAUAUUUUUAAGCUGAACACCAAGUGGAUUCUUGUUUGAAUAGUCCAUUUCUAAGAAGAUGUGGUUCGAACAUACAGAGCUACAUAAUAUGAGUAAAAUAGGACCUAACAGUAGUGUUCUCCAGCAUUGCUCUGCCUUUCCUUUUCUGGAUGUAACAACAUUACUAAGAAAGGAAGAAAAAGCAAAAAUCUGCUCUCGGGGAGAUUCCAGAAUGUUGGAAAGCCCCAAAUGGAAGUCUCUGCUUUGGUUACAGGACAUAAGGUUUAAUAAAUAAAAAGAUGCUCAUCUGGGAUGCUGCACCAAUUAUCAUGUACUAAAUAAGGUUACCUACUUCACUCUCCAGGUAGAAAUGUCUAUCAUAAGCAUGUGCCACAGAAGGUCUCUCAAGUAUCAUUAUUGGCUGUGUUGAAUUUUGUUUUUAGUUCUCUUUUAUAAGGUCUGUAGUCUUACUUUCAGUGAGGAAGUGUUUUCUCAGGUUCUCAAGAAAGUAACAAAAUGCCAGCAUUGUCAAGGUCACCAUUGCCACUGAAUUAUCUUACUGUCUGAUUAUUCCAUCUUCCUCUGCAUCAUAUUAGCCUGAUGACUACAUUCUAAUUAUUUAAAGCGUUAUGUAAAUCAAAGCAGUAAAUGUAAUUUCUAGUCUUACUAGAUAUCAUGUACAUUAGGUCGAAUAACUCUAGAAAUGUCGUCAUAAUCAUGUCAUGCCUAAUGAUGACCUACUCAGCCCCUGCCAACAUCAUUCAAUUACUCAUUUCAGUAUUGAUUUUUCUCAUGCCUCUCUUCGUGGCAUUUAAACAGCCCUCACAUCUCCCCUUUUACUGAGGUGUAAUGUUGUAUAAUGACAGAGAUGCUUUGCUUCCCAGAUUCAUAAUGUUACACUCUGUUUCAAAUCCUUUUGGAGACAAAUUGGGGAAUC
Long non-coding RNA from Homo sapiens (human), 1766 nucleotides. Ensembl annotates it as ZFHX4 antisense RNA 1. Its record names the gene ZFHX4-AS1. Lineage: Eukaryota; Metazoa; Chordata; Mammalia; Primates; Hominidae. The record is from Ensembl.